UACGUAGGGCGCAAGCGUUGUCCGGAAUUAUUGGGCGUAAAGAGCUCGUAGGCGGCUUGUCGCGUCGACAUGUGAAAACCCGUGGCUCAACCAUGUGGUCUGCAGUCGAUACGGGCAGGCUAGAAUUCGGUAGGGGAGACUGGAAUUCCUGGUGUAGCGGUGAAAUGCGCAGAUAUUAGGAGGAACACCGGUGGCGAAGGCACGACUCUGGCGGCAAACUGACGCUGAGGAGCGAAAGCGUGGGGAGCGAACAGG
Molecule: ribosomal RNA, 255 nt
Filed under: uncultured bacterium
Lineage: Bacteria
Description: partial 16S ribosomal RNA
Rfam family: Bacterial small subunit ribosomal RNA
Source: RNAcentral